UGCCUUUGUGUUGCCCAUUCAUUACUUUCUACAGUGAAUGUGGUGUCAGAAAAGGCAUACAUUAAUUCUAGCUGUCAUGUGUUCAAGAGUGGAUUAUGUACCUUCUCUGCAUUUCAGCUAGAACAUAA
Molecule: small nucleolar RNA, 128 nt
Organism: Elgaria multicarinata webbii
Lineage: Eukaryota; Metazoa; Chordata; Lepidosauria; Squamata; Anguidae
Product: small nucleolar RNA SNORA13
Exons: 1
Source: RefSeq, a predicted model, not a curated record